Molecule: ribosomal RNA, 257 nt
Filed under: uncultured bacterium
Lineage: Bacteria
Description: partial 16S ribosomal RNA
Rfam family: Bacterial small subunit ribosomal RNA
Source: RNAcentral
UACGAGGGGGGCAAGCGUUGGUUCGGAAUUAUUGGGCGUAAAGGGGUGCGUAGGCGGUCUGACAAGUCUGAUGUGAAAUCUAUGGGCUCAACCCCAUAGUCUGCAUCGGAAACUGUCGGGCUGGAGUAUGGGAGAGGUGAGUGGAAUUUCCGAUGUAGCGGUGAAAUGCGUAGAUAUCGGAAGGAACACCUGUGGCGAAAGCGGACUCACUGGACCAUUACUGACGCUGAUGCACGAAAGCUAGGGGAGCAAACAGG